Molecule: ribosomal RNA, 295 nt
Filed under: uncultured Pseudomonas sp.
Lineage: Bacteria; Pseudomonadati; Pseudomonadota; Gammaproteobacteria; Pseudomonadales; Pseudomonadaceae
Description: partial 16S ribosomal RNA
Rfam family: Bacterial small subunit ribosomal RNA
Source: RNAcentral
GUAACGAGCGCAACCCUUGUCCUUAGUUACCAGCACGUUAUGGUGGGCACUCUAAGGAGACUGCCGGUGACAAACCGGAGGAAGGUGGGGAUGACGUCAAGUCAUCAUGGCCCUUACGGCCUGGGCUACACACGUGCUACAAUGGUCGGUACAAAGGGUUGCCAAGCCGCGAGGUGGAGCUAAUCCCAUAAAACCGAUCGUAGUCCGGAUCGCAGUCUGCAACUCGACUGCGUGAAGUCGGAAUCGCUAGUAAUCGUGAAUCAGAAUGUCACGGUGAAUACGUUCCCGGGCCGUU